GACGAACGCUGGCGGCGUGCUUAACACAUGCAAGUCGAACGGAAAGGCCCCUUUGGGGGUACUCGAGUGGCGAACGGGUGAGUAACACGUGAGUAACCUGCCCUUGACUUCGGGAUAACUACAGGAAACUGGGGCUAAUACCGGAUAGGAAUCCUUGCUGCAUGGUGGGGGUUGGAAAGCUUCGGCGGUUUUGGAUGGACUCGCGGCCUAUCAGCUUGUUGGUGGGGUAGUGGCUUACCAAGGCUUUGACGGGUAGCCGGCCUGGGAGGGCGACCGGCCACAUUGGGACUGAGAUACGGCCCAGGCUCCUACGGGAGGCAACAGUGGGGAAUAUUGCACAAUGGGCGGAAGCCUGAUGCAGCAACGCCGCGUGCGGGAUGACGGCCUUCGGGUUGUAAACCGCUUUCAGCAGGGGCGAAGCUUGUGGUGACGGUACCUGCAGAAGAAGCACCGGCUAACUACGUG
RNAcentral lists this ribosomal RNA (465 nucleotides) under uncultured bacterium. Its description in RNAcentral is "partial 16S ribosomal RNA". It matches the Rfam family "Bacterial small subunit ribosomal RNA", at positions 28 to 507 of the family's 1533-position model. The record is from RNAcentral.